GAAUUCAACUCCUACGGGAGGCAGCAGUGGGGAAUAUUGGACAAUGGGCGCAAGCCUGAUCCAGCCAUGCCGCGUGAGUGAUGAAGGCCCUAGGGUUGUAAAGCUCUUUCGCCAGGGACGAUAAUGACGGUACCUGGAUAAGAAGCCCCGGCUAACUUCGUGCCAGCAGCCGCGGUAAUACGAAGGGGGCUAGCGUUGUUCGGAAUCACUGGGCGUAAAGCGCACGUAGGCGGAUCUUUAAGUCAGGGGUGAAAUCCCGAGGCUCAACCUCGGAACUGCCUUUGAUACUGGAGGUCUCGAGUCCGGGAGAGGUGAGUGGAACUGCGAGUGUAGAGGUGAAAUUCGUAGAUAUUCGCAAGAACACCAGUGGCGAAGGCGGCUCACUGGCCCGGUACUGACGCUGAGGUGCGAAAGCGUGGGGAGCAAACAGGAUUAGAAACCCUUGUAGUCCAGGCGUU
Molecule: ribosomal RNA, 458 nt
Filed under: uncultured bacterium
Lineage: Bacteria
Description: bacterial SSU rRNA
Rfam family: Bacterial small subunit ribosomal RNA
Source: RNAcentral